This 253-nucleotide ribosomal RNA is filed under the name uncultured bacterium. RNAcentral's name for it is "partial 16S ribosomal RNA". It matches the Rfam family "Bacterial small subunit ribosomal RNA", at positions 524 to 776 of the family's 1533-position model. The record is from RNAcentral.
UACGAAGGGUGCAAGCGUUACUCGGAAUUACUGGGCGUAAAGCGUGCGUAGGUGGUUUGUUAAGUCUGAUGUGAAAGCCCUGGGCUCAACCUGGGAAUUGCAUUGGAUACUGGCAGGCUAGAGUGCGGUAGAGGGUAGUGGAAUUCCCGGUGUAGCAGUGAAAUGCGUAGAGAUCGGGAGGAACAUCUGUGGCGAAGGCAGGUCUCUGGGCCAUUACUGACACUGAGGAGCGAAAGCGUGGGGAGCGAACAGG